CCUACCAUAACCUUUCAGUUUCCAGUGAGGCCUUAAAAGAGAGAGAGAAAACACCAUGCCUUGGACAGACACGCUGCCUGACUACUGCUGUGCUGCUACAGAUUCUGAGUAAAUUUGGAGAAAUCACACCAGAAUGAAAUAAAUAAAAGGAAAAGCAUGUGGCUACGUAACAUUACUACAUAUGGCAUUAGUGAUGACUUCGGCCCAGAAAAAAACCCCAGAGGUGACUGGACUCGGU
This is a long non-coding RNA of Gopherus evgoodei (Goodes thornscrub tortoise), 238 nucleotides long. RefSeq lists it as uncharacterized. NCBI's taxonomy places the organism in Eukaryota, Metazoa, Chordata, Testudines, Testudinidae. The transcript has 3 exons. The record is from RefSeq and is a predicted model, not a curated record.